This 484-nucleotide ribosomal RNA is filed under the name uncultured bacterium. Its description in RNAcentral is "partial 16S ribosomal RNA". It matches the Rfam family "Bacterial small subunit ribosomal RNA", at positions 30 to 507 of the family's 1533-position model. The record is from RNAcentral.
AUUGAACGCUGGCGGCAGGCCUAACACAUGCAAGUCGAGCGGAUGAAGGGAGCUUGCUCCUGGAUUCAGCGGCGGACGGGUGAGUAAUGCCUAGGAAUCUGCCUGGUAGUGGGGGAUAACGUCCGGAAACGGGCGCUAAUACCGCAUACGUCCUGAGGGAGAAAGUGGGGGUUCUUCGGACCUCACGCUAUCAGAUGAGCCUAGGUCGGAUUAGCUAGUUGGUGGGGUAAAGGCCUACCAAGGCGACGAUCCGUAACUGGUCUGAGAGGAUGAUCAGUCACACUGGAACUGAGACACGGUCCAGACUCCUACGGGAGGCAGCAGUGGGGAAUAUUGGACAAUGGGCGAAAGCCUGAUCCAGCCAUGCCGCGUGUGUGAAGAUGGUCUUCGGAUUGUAAAGCACUUUAAGUUGGGAGGAAGGGCAGUAAGUUAAUACCUUGCUGUUUUGACGUUACCAACAGAAUAAGCACCGGCUAACUUCGUG